Non-coding RNA from Albula goreensis, 70 nucleotides. Lineage: Eukaryota; Metazoa; Chordata; Actinopteri; Albuliformes; Albulidae. The record is from the annotation of a GenBank genome assembly.
UUUGUGGUGGCCUAAUGGAUAAGGCGUCUGACUUUGGAUCAGAAGCUGGCAGGUUUAAGUCCCUUCAUGG